This 826-nucleotide long non-coding RNA is filed under the name Leguminivora glycinivorella. Its description in RNAcentral is "uncharacterized LOC125237156, transcript variant X1". Lineage: Eukaryota; Metazoa; Arthropoda; Insecta; Lepidoptera; Tortricidae. The record is from RNAcentral.
UGCCAGUCGUCUCUCAAAUCACGGCGAGCUUUAAUCAUUAGGUCGGAUGCGAGAACCAUGCUGUAUUGAGGAUGAAUGGGGAUAACAUUUUCAUUUUGAAAUGGUUGCCCAAUACGGCCUGUAAGCAGCUUUUAGCGUCAGAGAAAAUGACAACUUUUGGGAUGCUGUGAGACUCUACAUAUGUCACAGCCUCCAUCAAUGCAAUUGAUUCACCGGUAAAGACAGAGGCCUGUGAAGGGCAUUUGUAGGAUAGAAGGAUACGGUAUCUGGGUAUCCAAAUUGCUGCUCCCACACAGCUAUUAUUGUUCAGUUUUGAUGCGUCUGUGUAAAUUGGUAUCAAGGCGGAGAGAGCUUGUAGCCGAGGGAUGAGCAAGUGAUUUGAUAUGGAGCAAGCCCUCAAUACAUAUCGGUCUGCAAGGAGUUGUCUGCGGAGAGAUAGCGGUGGAUCUACACACUCCACCUGCAUGCCAUUCUUUGGGUUCUAGGACAAGGGAGCCAUAGUCCAUUUGGCUGCGGAUUAAGGCAUUGUACACUAAUUUCUGGCAGUAAGGAUGUGCACCCCACCAAACCCCAGAGAGAGAUCGGAGAACAUUUAUGCCUCUUUCACAUUUGCCAACGAUAUGUUUCAAAUGUGGAACACCUGACAUUUUGGAAUCAAAAAACACUCCCAGAAAUUUUACCAUAUUACUGGAGGGUAUAAUUUGGUCUUCAUAGCGAAGAAGUAUAUUUGGGAUGGAGUGACGGCGAGUGAAGGUAACAGUGCUGCUUUUUGAGGGAGAAAGAGAUAGACCAUGCUCAUCCAACCAUUCCUUAAGGUAUACAAGAG